RNAcentral lists this ribosomal RNA (492 nucleotides) under uncultured bacterium. Its description in RNAcentral is "partial 16S ribosomal RNA". It matches the Rfam family "Bacterial small subunit ribosomal RNA", at positions 29 to 507 of the family's 1533-position model. The record is from RNAcentral.
AGUGAACGCUGGCGGUAGGCCUAACACAUGCAAGUCGAACGGCAGCACAGUAAGAGCUUGCUCUUACGGGUGGCGAGAGGCGGACGGGUGAGGAAUACAUCGGAAUCUACUUUUUCGUGGGGGAUAACGUAGGGAAACUUACGCUAAUACCGCAUACGACCUACGGGUGAAAGCAGGGGAUCUUCGGACCUUGCGCGAUUGAAUGAGCCGAUGUCGGAUUAGCUAGUUGGCGGGGUAAAGGCCCACCAAGGCGACGAUCCGUAGCUGGUCUGAGAGGAUGAUCAGCCACACUGGAACUGAGACACGGUCCAGACUCCUACGGGAGGCAGCAGUGGGGAAUAUUGGACAGUGGGCGCAAGCCUGAUCCAGCCAUACCGCGUGGGUGAAGAAGGCCUUCGGGUUGUAAAGCCCUUUUGUUGGGAAAGAAAAGCAGCAGGUUAAUACCCCGCUGUUCUGACGGUACCCAAAGAAUAAGCACCGGCUAACUUCGUG